This 200-nucleotide ribosomal RNA is filed under the name uncultured bacterium. RNAcentral describes it as "partial 16S ribosomal RNA". It matches the Rfam family "Bacterial small subunit ribosomal RNA", at positions 29 to 224 of the family's 1533-position model. The record is from RNAcentral.
AGCGAACGCUGGCGGCAGGCCUAACACAUGCAAGUCGAACGGCAGCACAGAGGAGCUUGCUCCUUGGGUGGCGAGUGGCGGACGGGUGAGGAAUACAUCGGAAUCUGCCUUAUCGUGGGGGAUAACGUAGGGAAACUUACGCUAAUACCGCAUACGACCUACGGGUGAAAGCGGAGGACCGCAAGGCUUCGCGCGAUAAU